This 21-nucleotide transfer RNA is filed under the name Bromus tectorum (cheatgrass). RNAcentral's name for it is "partial tRNA-Leu". RNAcentral also lists the same sequence under 3 other names. The record is from RNAcentral. Lineage: Eukaryota; Viridiplantae; Streptophyta; Magnoliopsida; Poales; Poaceae.
AUCGGUAGACGCUACGGACUU